RNAcentral lists this ribosomal RNA (501 nucleotides) under uncultured bacterium. RNAcentral describes it as "partial 16S ribosomal RNA". It matches the Rfam family "Bacterial small subunit ribosomal RNA", at positions 30 to 523 of the family's 1533-position model. The record is from RNAcentral.
AUUGAACGCUGGCGGCAGGCUUAACACAUGCAAGUCGAGCGGGGGAAGGUAGCUUGCUACCGGACCUAGCGGCGGACGGGUGAGUAAUGCUUAGGAAUCUGCCUAUUAGUGGGGGACAACAUCUCGAAAGGGAUGCUAAUACCGCAUACGUCCUACGGGAGAAAGCGGGGGAUCUUCGGACCUUGCGCUAAUAGAUGAGCCUAAGUCGGAUUAGCUAGUUGGUGGGGUAAAGGCCUACCAAGGCGACGAUCUGUAGCGGGUCUGAGAGGAGGAGCCGCCACACUGGGACUGAGACACGGCCCAGACUCCUACGGGAGGCAGCAGUGGGGAAUAUUGGACAAUGGGGGGAACCCUGAUCCAGCCAUGCCGCGUGUGUGAAGAAGGCCUUAUGGUUGUAAAGCACUUUAAGCGAGGAGGAGGCUACUCUAGUUAAUACCUAGGGAUAGUGGACGUUACUCGCAGAAUAAGCACCGGCUAACUCUGUGCCAGCCGCCGCGGUAA